ACUCCUACGGGAGGCAGCAGUGGGGAAUAUUGGACAAUGGGCGCAAGCCUGAUCCAGCCAUGCCGCGUGAGUGAUGAAGGCCCUAGGGUUGUAAAGCUCUUUCACCGGUGAAGAUAAUGACGGUAACCGGAGAAGAAGCCCCGGCUAACUUCGUGCCAGCAGCCGCGGUAAUACGAAGGGGGCUAGCGUUGUUCGGAUUUACUGGGCGUAAAGCGCACGUAGGCGGACUAUUAAGUCAGGGGUGAAAUCCCGGGGCUCAACCCCGGAACUGCCUUUGAUACUGGUAGUCUUGAGUUCGAGAGAGGUGAGUGGAAUUCCGAGUGGAGAGGUGAAAUUCGUAGAUAUUCGGAGGAACACCAGUGGCGAAGGCGGCUCACUGGCUCGAUACUGACGCUGAGGUGCGAAAGCGUGGGGAGCAAACAGGAUUAGAAACCCCGGUAGUCCC
RNAcentral lists this ribosomal RNA (445 nucleotides) under uncultured organism. RNAcentral describes it as "partial 16S ribosomal RNA". It matches the Rfam family "Bacterial small subunit ribosomal RNA", at positions 335 to 797 of the family's 1533-position model. The record is from RNAcentral.